CUGCAGUGACUUACAGCUCAGAGCACUGAGAGCCUCAACAGAGAACUGAACUGAUCUGAUUGAACAUGGACAGAUGCUCCAUACUGAUUCUCAUCGUGGGAACAGGUUUGGUGGCUGGAGACAGCAUUUAUCCAGAUAAAGGGACAGAAAAAAACUCUCAAGAAACACAAACUGUCAAGCUGAGCUGCUCAUAUAGUGCAAGUAGUGGUAUUGUUCAGCUUUACUGGUACAGACAGUAUCCCAACAGAGACCCUCAGUUCUUAUUAUACAAAUAUGCACCGUCAUCGAGUGAUUAUGAAAACACCUCUGAUGAUCGAUUUCAUUCAGCUACAACACAAUCCUCCACUGAACUCACUAUCACUGAUGUACGUCUGUCAGAUUCAGCUCUCUAUUAUUGUGCUCUAAGAGUUGGUGCCCAGUGAAAUAAAACAUGAGACAUGUUAUACAAAAACCUAAAGCUCUUUUCACUUUGAAAUUAUCUAGU
Molecule: non-coding RNA, 484 nt
Organism: Carassius carassius (crucian carp)
Lineage: Eukaryota; Metazoa; Chordata; Actinopteri; Cypriniformes; Cyprinidae
Source: the annotation of a RefSeq genome assembly